RNAcentral lists this ribosomal RNA (292 nucleotides) under uncultured bacterium. RNAcentral describes it as "partial 16S ribosomal RNA". It matches the Rfam family "Bacterial small subunit ribosomal RNA", at positions 505 to 796 of the family's 1533-position model. The record is from RNAcentral.
GUGCCAGCCGCCGCGGUAAUACGGAGGGUGCAAGCGUUGUUCGGAAUUACUGGGCGUAAAGGGCGCGCAGGCGGUUUUACAAGUCAGAUGUGAAAGCCCACGGCUCAACCGUGGAAGUGCAUUUGAAACUGUAUGACUUGAGUACCAGAGGGGAAGGUGGAAUUCCCGGUGUAGAGGUGAAAUUCGUAGAUAUCGGGAGGAAUACCGGUGGCGAAGGCGACUUUCUGGCUGGAUACUGACGCUGAGGCGCGAAAGCGUGGGGAGCAAACAGGAUUAGAUACCCCGGUAGUCC